GAUGAACGCUGGCGGCGUGCCUAAUACAUGCAAGUCGAGCGAACGGACGAGGAGCUUGCUUUUCUGAUGUUAGCGGCGGACGGGUGAGUAACACGUGUAUAACCUACCUAUAAGACUGGGAUAACUUCGGGAAACCGGAGCUAAUCCCGGAUAAUAUUUUGAACCGCAUGGUUCAAAAGUGAAAGACGGUCUUGCGGUCACGUAUAGAUGGAUCCGCGCUGCAUUAGCUAGUUGGUAAGGUAACGGCUUACCAAGGCAACGAUGCAUAGCCGACCUGAGAGGGUGAUCGGCCACACUGGAACUGAGACACGGUCCAGACUCCUACGGGACGCAGCAGUAGGGAAUCGUACGCAAUGGGGGAAAGCCUGACGGAGCAACGCCGAGUGAGUGAUGACGGUGUUCGGAUCGUAAAACUCUGUUAUUAGGGAAGAACAUAUGUGGAAGGAAAUGUGCACAUCUUGACGGUACCUAAUCAGAAAGCCACGGCUAACUACGUG
Molecule: ribosomal RNA, 497 nt
Filed under: uncultured bacterium
Lineage: Bacteria
Description: partial 16S ribosomal RNA
Rfam family: Bacterial small subunit ribosomal RNA
Source: RNAcentral